CCUACGGGUGGCAGCAGUGGGGAAUAUUGCGCAAUGGGCGAAAGCCUGACGCCGCGACGCCGCGUGAGGGAUGAAGGUCUUCGGAUCGUAACCCUCUGUCAGCAGGGAAGAACGGUCACUGUGCUAAUCAGCCGUGAAUUGACGGUACCUGCAAAGGAAGCACCGGCUAACUCCGUGCCAGCAGCCGCGGUCAUACGGAGGGUGCGAGCGUUAAUCGGAAUUACUGGGCGUACAGCGCCCGUAGGAGGUAUGUCAAGUCAAGGGUGAAAUACCCGCGCUCAACGUGGGAACUGCCGUUGAAACUGGCAAACUGGAGUGUGUGAGAGGAUAGUGGAAGUCGAGGUGUAGGAGUGAAAUGCGGAGAUAUCUGGAGGAACAUCAGGGGCGAAGGCGACUAUCUGGCACAUAACUGACGCUGAGGAGCGAAAGCGUGGGUAGCAAACAGGAUUAGAUACCCGUGUAGUC
RNAcentral lists this ribosomal RNA (465 nucleotides) under uncultured bacterium. Its description in RNAcentral is "partial 16S ribosomal RNA". It matches the Rfam family "Bacterial small subunit ribosomal RNA", at positions 338 to 795 of the family's 1533-position model. The record is from RNAcentral.